GGAGGGAUGGCAGAGCGGUUGAUUGCACCGGUCUUGAAAACCGGCAAGGGUUCACGCCCUUCCAGAGUUCGAAUCUCUGUCCCUCCG
RNAcentral lists this transfer RNA (87 nucleotides) under Dichelobacter nodosus VCS1703A. It matches the Rfam family "tRNA". Rfam says of the family: Transfer RNA (tRNA) molecules are approximately 80 nucleotides in length. Their secondary structure includes four short double-helical elements and three loops (D, anti-codon, and T loops). Further hydrogen bonds mediate the characteristic L-shaped molecular structure. tRNAs have two regions of fundamental functional importance: the anti-codon, which is responsible for specific mRNA codon recognition, and the 3' end, to which the tRNAs corresponding amino acid is attached (by aminoacyl-tRNA synthetases). tRNAs cope with the degeneracy of the genetic code in two manners: having more than one tRNA (with a specific anti-codon) for a particular amino acid; and 'wobble' base-pairing, i.e. permitting non-standard base-pairing at the 3rd anti-codon position. The record is from Rfam by way of RNAcentral. Lineage: Bacteria; Pseudomonadati; Pseudomonadota; Gammaproteobacteria; Cardiobacteriales; Cardiobacteriaceae.